RNAcentral lists this ribosomal RNA (253 nucleotides) under uncultured bacterium. RNAcentral describes it as "partial 16S ribosomal RNA". It matches the Rfam family "Bacterial small subunit ribosomal RNA", at positions 524 to 776 of the family's 1533-position model. The record is from RNAcentral.
UACGUAGGGCGCAAGCGUUGUCCGGAAUCAUUGGGCGUAAAGAGCUCGUAGGCGGCCUGUUGCGUCCGCUGUGAAAUCCCGGGGCUUAACCCCGGGCGUGCAGUGGAUACGGGCUGGCUGGAGGCAGGCAGGGGAGAACGGAAUUCCCGGUGUAGCGGUGGAAUGCGUAGAGAUCCGGAAGAACACCGGUGGCGAAGGCGGCCCGCUGGGCAACUGCUGACACUGAUGCGCGACAGCGUGGGGAGCAAACAGG